RNAcentral lists this ribosomal RNA (253 nucleotides) under uncultured bacterium. RNAcentral's name for it is "partial 16S ribosomal RNA". It matches the Rfam family "Bacterial small subunit ribosomal RNA", at positions 524 to 776 of the family's 1533-position model. The record is from RNAcentral.
UACGAAGGGGGCUAGCGUUGUUCGGAUUUACUGGGCGUAAAGCGCACGUAGGCGGAUCGUUAAGUCGGGGGUGAAAUCCUGGAGCUCAACUCCAGAACUGCCUUCGAUACUGGAAGACUUGAGUCCGGGAGAGGUGAGUGGAACUGCGAGUGUAGAGGUGAAAUUCGUAGAUAUUCGCAAGAACACCAGUGGCGAAGGCGGCUCACUGGCCCGGUACUGACGCUGAGGUGCGAAAGCGUGGGGAGCAAACAGG